RNAcentral lists this ribosomal RNA (433 nucleotides) under uncultured bacterium. RNAcentral's name for it is "partial 16S ribosomal RNA". It matches the Rfam family "Bacterial small subunit ribosomal RNA", at positions 29 to 507 of the family's 1533-position model. The record is from RNAcentral.
AACGAACGCUGGCGGCAUGCCUAACACAUGCAAGUCGAACGAAUGCUUCGGCCUUAGUGGCGCACGGGUGCGUAACGCGUGGGAAUCUGCCCUUUGCUUCGGAAUAACAGUUAGAAAUGACUGCUAAUACCGGAUGAUGUCGCAAGACCAAAGAUUUAUCGGCAAAGGAUGAGCCCGCGUAGGAUUAGCUAGUUGGUGGGGUAACGGCCUACCAAGGCGACGAUCCUUAGCUGGUCUGAGAGGAUGAUCAGCCACACUGGGACUGAGACACGGCCCAGACUCUUACGGGAGGAAGCAGGGGGGAAUAUUGGACAAUGGGCGAAAGACUGAUCCAGCAAUGCCGCGUGAGUGAUGAAGGACUUAGGGUUGUAAAGCUCUUUUAACCGGGAUGAUAAUGACAGUACCGGGAGAAUAAGCCCCGGCUAACUCCGUG